This 211-nucleotide long non-coding RNA is filed under the name Elaeis guineensis (African oil palm). RNAcentral describes it as "long non-coding RNA (EGUI_LNC024565)". The record is from RNAcentral. Lineage: Eukaryota; Viridiplantae; Streptophyta; Magnoliopsida; Arecales; Arecaceae.
AGUGUAGUAAUAGUCGAACUCUUUUUGAUCUGAGAGUUAGGCUUCGACCUGGGGACUGAAGCAUCUAGAAUAAACAUGCAGGAAAGGUUCUAUCAUGCUCUAAUUCCUACAAUUAGAAAUUGAGGAUAUGAAUGGCCACCACUUCCCUACAAAGAACUGACUCUGUAGACAUGCAAGGCACAUCACCUGUCAAUAACAUAGUAAACUAACA